CACUGUGCUUAAAAAGGGAUUGAACAGCUGUCGUCAGGAUCCUCGAACUGUUGGCCUGAUCUUGAACUGAGUGUGGGUGGGACUUCUCCCACGACCUCUGACACCUCGACCUCUGACAACACAAAAUUCCCUAGAGUGAUUUAUCUCACAAAUAGCAAAGUAGAGAGAAAGGCAAUGAAAAUUACUGACUUCGGUAUUUGUCUAGAUUUCUGACUCUACGAUGGGUAAAAGCAGUGUGGAUUUGUCCAGUCAGCCACGGUUCGUGAAGCGCAGGGGCCUGGCCAGCAGUCCGGGAACGUCUACCACCCCACGCCCAGGACGUCAUCCCCCACCUGGACCCACGCUGCCCCUUCCUGCCCUUGCGAGAGUCAAAACUCCUGGGGCAAGUCCGACGAUCUCCCGUCCAGCAAGUAUCAUUUCCUGCAAGCACAAGGAUGACAAUGACGAGUAUAAACCACCGCUGAGCCAGACGGCACAGAUGGACGAGCAGGCGCACUGCAGGGCUGCGCGGGCGUCGGCACAGCGUGGAGAGCAGUGUGAGCACCAGGACCCCGAGCUCAGACUUGCAAGUGGAAGGACAGUCGGCCCUAAUCUAAUGGGCAUGACUUUGAGUGAAGAGAGCAAAGUGAACAAGUAUGCUGAAUAA
RNAcentral lists this long non-coding RNA (646 nucleotides) under Bos indicus x Bos taurus (hybrid cattle). RNAcentral describes it as "lncRNA (ENSBIXG00000028695.1)". The record is from RNAcentral. Lineage: Eukaryota; Metazoa; Chordata; Mammalia; Artiodactyla; Bovidae.